This 1410-nucleotide ribosomal RNA is filed under the name Lactiplantibacillus plantarum. RNAcentral describes it as "bacterial SSU rRNA". It matches the Rfam family "Bacterial small subunit ribosomal RNA", at positions 57 to 1433 of the family's 1533-position model. Lineage: Bacteria; Bacillati; Bacillota; Bacilli; Lactobacillales; Lactobacillaceae. The record is from RNAcentral.
GCAAGUCGAACGAACUCUGGUAUUGAUUGGUGCUUGCAUCAUGAUUUACAUUUGAGUGAGUGGCGAACUGGUGAGUAACACGUGGGAAACCUGCCCAGAAGCGGGGGAUAACACCUGGAAACAGAUGCUAAUACCGCAUAACAACUUGGACCGCAUGGUCCGAGCUUGAAAGAUGGCUUCGGCUAUCACUUUUGGAUGGUCCCGCGGCGUAUUAGCUAGAUGGUGGGGUAACGGCUCACCAUGGCAAUGAUACGUAGCCGACCUGAGAGGGUAAUCGGCCACAUUGGGACUGAGACACGGCCCAAACUCCUACGGGAGGCAGCAGUAGGGAAUCUUCCACAAUGGACGAAAGUCUGAUGGAGCAACGCCGCGUGAGUGAAGAAGGGUUUCGGCUCGUAAAACUCUGUUGUUAAAGAAGAACAUAUCUGAGAGUAACUGUUCAGGUAUUGACGGUAUUUAACCAGAAAGCCACGGCUAACUACGUGCCAGCAGCCGCGGUAAUACGUAGGUGGCAAGCGUUGUCCGGAUUUAUUGGGCGUAAAGCGAGCGCAGGCGGUUUUUUAAGUCUGAUGUGAAAGCCUUCGGCUCAACCGAAGAAGUGCAUCGGAAACUGGGAAACUUGAGUGCAGAAGAGGACAGUGGAACUCCAUGUGUAGCGGUGAAAUGCGUAGAUAUAUGGAAGAACACCAGUGGCGAAGGCGGCUGUCUGGUCUGUAACUGACGCUGAGGCUCGAAAGUAUGGGUAGCAAACAGGAUUAGAUACCCUGGUAGUCCAUACCGUAAACGAUGAAUGCUAAGUGUUGGAGGGUUUCCGCCCUUCAGUGCUGCAGCUAACGCAUUAAGCAUUCCGCCUGGGGAGUACGGCCGCAAGGCUGAAACUCAAAGGAAUUGACGGGGGCCCGCACAAGCGGUGGAGCAUGUGGUUUAAUUCGAAGCUACGCGAAGAACCUUACCAGGUCUUGACAUACUAUGCAAAUCUAAGAGAUUAGACGUUCCCUUCGGGGACAUGGAUACAGGUGGUGCAUGGUUGUCGUCAGCUCGUGUCGUGAGAUGUUGGGUUAAGUCCCGCAACGAGCGCAACCCUUAUUAUCAGUUGCCAGCAUUAAGUUGGGCACUCUGGUGAGACUGCCGGUGACAAACCGGAGGAAGGUGGGGAUGACGUCAAAUCAUCAUGCCCCUUAUGACCUGGGCUACACACGUGCUACAAUGGAUGGUACAACGAGUUGCGAACUCGCGAGAGUAAGCUAAUCUCUUAAAGCCAUUCUCAGUUCGGAUUGUAGGCUGCAACUCGCCUACAUGAAGUCGGAAUCGCUAGUAAUCGCGGAUCAGCAUGCCGCGGUGAAUACGUUCCCGGGCCUUGUACACACCGCCCGUCACACCAUGAGAGUUUGUAACACCCAAAGUCGGUGG